Molecule: ribosomal RNA, 496 nt
Filed under: uncultured bacterium
Lineage: Bacteria
Description: partial 16S ribosomal RNA
Rfam family: Bacterial small subunit ribosomal RNA
Source: RNAcentral
GAUGAACGCUGGCGGCGUGCCUAAUACAUGCAAGUCGAGCGAACGGACGAGAAGCUUGCUUCUCUGAUGUUAGCGGCGGACGGGUGAGUAACACGUGGAUAACCUACCUAUAAGACUGGGAUAACUUCGGGAAACCGGAGCUAAUACCGGAUAAUAUUUUGAACCGCAUGGUUCAAAAGUGAAAGACGGUCUUGCUGUCACUUAUAGAUGGAUCCGCGCUGCAUUAGCUAGUUGGUAAGGUAACGGCUUACCAAGGCAACGAUGCAUAGCCGACCUGAGAGCGGGCUCCGCCCCCCUGGGCUUGGGACCCGGUCCAGCCCCCUGCGGGGGGCCGCAGUGGGGAACCUCCCGCAAUGGGCGAAAGCCUGCCGGAGCAACGCCGCGUGAUUGAUGAAGUUCUUCGGUUCGUAAACCUUUGUUUUUGUGGAAGAACAUUUUUGAAAGUAACUGUCCCCCCUUUGACGGUACCGAUACAAAAACCCCCCCCUAACUCCGU